GGGACACGUGGUAUCCUGUCUGAAUAUGGGGGGACCAUCCUCCAAGGCUAAAUACUCCUGACUGACCGAUAGUGAACCAGUACCGUGAGGGAAAGGCGAAAAGAACCCCGGCGAGGGGAGUGAAAAAGAACCUGAAACCGUGUACGUACAAGCAGUGGGAGCACGCUUAGGCGUGUGACUGCGUACCUUUUGUAUAAUGGGUCAGCGACUUAUAUUCUGUAGCAAGGUUAACCGAAUAGGGGAGCCGAAGGGAAACCGAGUCUUAACUGGGCGUUAAGUUGCAGGGUAUAGACCCGAAACCCGGUGAUCUAGCCAUGGGCAGGUUGAAGGUUGGGUAACACUAACUGGAGGACCGAACCGACUAAUGUUGAAAAAUUAGCGGAUGACUUGUGGCUGGGGGUGAAAGGCCAAUCAAACCGGGAGAUAGCUGGUUCUCCCCGAAAGCUAUUUAGGUAGCGCCUCGUGAAUUCAUCUCCGGGGGUAGAGCACUGUUUCGGCAAGGGGGUCAUCCCGACUUACCAACCCGAUGCAAACUGCGAAUACCGGAGAAUGUUAUCACGGGAGACACACGGCGGGUGCUAACGUCCGUCGUGAAGAGGGAAACAACCCAGACCGCCAGCUAAGGUCCCAAAGUCAUGGUUAAGUGGGAAACGAUGUGGGAAGGCCCAGACAGCCAGGAUGUUGGCUUAGAAGCAGCCAUCAUUUAAAGAAAGCGUAAUAGCUCACUGGUCGAGUCGGCCUGCGCGGAAGAUGUAACGGGGCUAAACCAUGCACCGAAGCUGCGGCAGCGACACUAUGUGUUGUUGGGUAGGGGAGCGUUCUGUAAGCCUGUGAAGGUGUGCUGUGAGGCAUGCUGGAGGUAUCAGAAGUGCGAAUGCUGACAUAAGUAACGAUAAAGCGGGUGAAAAGCCCGCUCGCCGGAAGACCAAGGGUUCCUGUCCAACGUUAAUCGGGGCAGGGUGAGUCGACCCCUAAGGCGAGGCCGAAAGGCGUAGUCGAUGGGAAACAGGUUAAUAUUCCUGUACUUGGUGUUACUGCGAAGGGGGGACGGAGAAGGCUAUGUUGGCCGGGCGACGGUUGUCCCGGUUUAAGCGUGUAGGCUGGUUUUCCAGGCAAAUCCGGAAAAUCAAGGCUGAGGCGUGAUGACGAGGCACUACGGUGCUGAAGCAACAAAUGCCCUGCUUCCAGGAAAAGCCUCUAAGCAUCAGGUAACAUCAAAUCGUACCCCAAACCGACACAGGUGGUCAGGUAGAGAAUACCAAGGCGCUUGAGAGAACUCGGGUGAAGGAACUAGGCAAAAUGGUGCCGUAACUUCGGGAGAAGGCACGCUGAUAUGUAGGUGAAGUCCCUCGCGGAUGGAGCUGAAAUCAGUCGAAGAUACCAGCUGGCUGCAACUGUUUAUUAAAAACACAGCACUGUGCAAACACGAAAGUGGACGUAUACGGUGUGACGCCUGCCCGGUGCCGGAAGGUUAAUUGAUGGGGUUAGCCGCAAGGCGAAGCUCUUGAUCGAAGCCCCGGUAAACGGCGGCCGUAACUAUAACGGUCCUAAGGUAGCGAAAUUCCUUGUCGGGUAAGUUCCGACCUGCACGAAUGGCGUAAUGAUGGCCAGGCUGUCUCCACCCGAGACUCAGUGAAAUUGAACUCGCUGUGAAGAUGCAGUGUACCCGCGGCAAGACGGAAAGACCCCGUGAACCUUUACUAUAGCUUGACACUGAACAUUGAGCCUUGAUGUGUAGGAUAGGUGGGAGGCUUAGAAGUGUGGACGCCAGUCUGCAUGGAGCCGACCUUGAAAUACCACCCUUUAAUGUUUGAUGUUCUAACGUUGACCCGU
Molecule: ribosomal RNA, 1833 nt
Filed under: Escherichia coli
Lineage: Bacteria; Pseudomonadati; Pseudomonadota; Gammaproteobacteria; Enterobacterales; Enterobacteriaceae
Description: partial 23S ribosomal RNA
Rfam family: Bacterial large subunit ribosomal RNA
Source: RNAcentral